GAGUAACUAUUUCAAUUCAUUUAUUGCUCUGUUUUAAUGUUAAUUUUUGGAAUAACUACAAAUUGCUCGGCAAAAAAAGCCAAUAGCAAUUUAUCGAUCACUUAUGUUAGUUCCAUCAUCAUUAUCAUUGAAUUAUUUCCAAGUCCUUUUUUUUCAUUAGCCUGUGAAACUUCCAAAAAGUCUUGAAAUUUUUCUGAAGUUUUCCUUAGUUUAGUGUUAAUUGAGGUUGCCAAUACAAAUUUUCAUUUUUAUUUCCUUGAAUUAUCCCUCUGUAAUUUCUUUCAUUUCAGAAAGCUUAAAAUAUUGCAUUCGGAUUGGCUGAAAAAUAUACCUUUUGCUCCAACUGUCAGCCAAUUUCAAUUUUCCCAUUUAUACUUCGGAGCUAUAAAAGUAAAAUGAUUUUCCUCAUUAUUUAAACGGAAUCGUACGACUUAUGAUAACAAUAAUUAGUUGCAACCAACCGCUGUGAUUACUUUCUUUUUUUAAGAUCCACCCUCAAUUUUUGUAAAACUAACAAAAAUGACAUCUUAUAUUCUAAGCACUCUUCUUUUUUGUCUGAUACUGAAUGGCAUUUUCGCCUCAUACUCGCAACAACAAUCGUGGAACAGAGUCAACGAAUUCCAAGAAAACGGUCCAUCAGUAAAUUUUCCCGGUUGGGCUGAUAGUUAUCCGUACAACCCGAAAUACAGACCAUACACGCAACUGUUUAAGUCGUGGGAAAGCCCGAACGAACACAUAAUGCCAGCCGAAUCUCCGAUCGAUCUCGAGGCGCAAAUAACUCCUUCAAUGUACAAUGACGUCAUGUCUCAAAUCCCACCUCAGAUGAGCAACAUAUAUUUCUCACAAGAAUUGGGAAACAUCCUCAAAAAACGAGGACACCUUUUCGACUUAGCAAAGCGCGAGCAGGGUAAAAAACGAGUUCGUAACCUAGGCAUGGGAUUUUAACCAUUUUAAGCUGCUGAUAUGGCAAUGUGAAUCGCCGGCCUAAAUUUAGGACAAACACCAGCCAAUAGGAUUGGACCUCGAUAUGAAAAAAAGCUGGCAAAAAGAACUGUCUUAAAAACCUGCAUUCUCGCAUAGGUCUAAAAUAGUUCGGAAAUAUGCUUUAAUUUUGAAUGCUGUAACAAUUAAACUAUAAAUUGAACUUUUGACGUCUCUUG
Symsagittifera roscoffensis is the source of this 1160-nucleotide long non-coding RNA. RefSeq lists it as uncharacterized. The record is from RefSeq and is a predicted model, not a curated record. NCBI's taxonomy places the organism in Eukaryota, Metazoa, Xenacoelomorpha, Acoela, Convolutidae. The transcript has 2 exons.